RNAcentral lists this ribosomal RNA (495 nucleotides) under uncultured bacterium. RNAcentral describes it as "partial 16S ribosomal RNA". It matches the Rfam family "Bacterial small subunit ribosomal RNA", at positions 28 to 523 of the family's 1533-position model. The record is from RNAcentral.
GAUGAACGCUGGCGGCGUGCUUAACACAUGCAAGUCGAGCGAAGCGGUUUUAAGGAAGUUUUCGGAUGGAAUUAAGAUCGACUUAGCGGCGGACGGGUGAGUAACGCGUGGGUAACCUGCCUCAUACAGGGGGAUAACAGUUAGAAAUGACUGCUAAUACCGCAUAAGCGCACAGUGCUGCAUAGCACAGUGUGAAAAACUCCGGUGGUAUGAGAUGGACCCGCGUCUGAUUAGGUGGUUGGUGAGGUAAUGGCUCACCAAGCCGACGAUCAGUAGCCGACCUGAGAGGGUGACCGGCCACAUUGGGACUGAGACACGGCCCAAACUCCUACGGGAGGCAGCAGUGGGGAAUAUUGGACAAUGAGGGAAACCCUGAUCCAGCGACGCCGCGUGAGUGAAGAAGUGUUUCGGCAUGUAAAGCUCUAUCAGCAGGGAAGAAAAUGACGGUACCUGACUAAGAAGCCCCGGCUAACUACGUGCCAGCAGCCGCCGUAA